This 253-nucleotide ribosomal RNA is filed under the name uncultured bacterium. Its description in RNAcentral is "partial 16S ribosomal RNA". It matches the Rfam family "Bacterial small subunit ribosomal RNA", at positions 524 to 776 of the family's 1533-position model. The record is from RNAcentral.
UACAGAGGUCCCAAGCGUUGUUCGGAUUCAUUGGGCGUAAAGGGUGCGUGGGCGGCGCGGUAAGUCGGGUGUGAAAUCUUGGAGCUUAACUCCGAAACUGCAUUCGAUACUGCCGUGCUUGAGGACUGGAGAGGAGACUGGAAUUUACGGUGUAGCGGUGAAAUGCGUAGAUAUCGUAAGGAAGACCAGUGGCGAAGGCGGGUCUCUGGACAGUUCCUGACGCUGAGGCACGAAGGUCAGGGGAGCAAACGGG